Molecule: ribosomal RNA, 933 nt
Filed under: uncultured organism
Description: bacterial SSU rRNA
Rfam family: Bacterial small subunit ribosomal RNA
Source: RNAcentral
UCACUAUUGGAUCCAGACUUUGAUCCUGGCUCAGGAUGAACUCUAGCUACAGGCUUAACACAUGCAAGUCGAGGGGAAACGAUAGAGAAAGCUUGCUUUUUCUAGGCGUCGACCGGCGCACGGGUGAGUAACGCGUAUCCAACCUGCCCAUCACUUGGGGAUAACCUUGCGAAAGUAAGACUAAUACCCAAUGACGUCUCUAGAAGACAUCUGAAAGAGAUUAAAGAUUUAUCGGUGAUGGAUGGGGAUGCGUCUGAUUAGCUUGUUGGCGGGGUAACGGCCCACCAAGGCUACGAUCAGUAGGGGUUCUGAGAGGAAGGUCCCCCACAUUGGAACUGAGACACGGUCCAAACUCCUACGGGAGGCAGCAGUGAGGAAUAUUGGUCAAUGGGCGAGAGCCUGAACCAGCCAAGUAGCGUGCAGGAUGACGGCCCUAUGGGUUGUAAACUGCUUUUAUAAGGGAAUAAAGUGAGCCUCGUGAGACUUUUUGCAUGUACCUUAUGAAUAAGGACCGGCUAAUUCCGCGCCAGCAGCCGCGGUAAUACGGAAGGUCCGGGCGUUAUCCGGAUUUAUUGGGUUUAAAGGGAGCGUAGGCCGGAGAUUAAGCGUGUUGUGAAAUGUAGACGCUCAACGUCUGCACUGCAGCGCGAACUGGUUUCCUUGAGUACGCACAAAGUGGGCGGAAUUCGUGGUGUAGCGGUGAAAUGCUUAGAUAUCACGAAGAACUCCGAUUGCGAAGGCAGCUCACUGGAGCGCAACUGACGCUGAAGCUCGAAAGUGCGGGUAUCGAACAGGAUUAGAUACCCUGGUAGUCCGCACGGUAAACGAUGGAUGCCCGCUGUUGGUCUGAAUAGGUCAGCGGCCAAGCGAAAGCAUUAAGCAUCCCACCUGGGGAGUACGCCGGCAACGGUGCAACUCAAAUGAAUUGACGGA